UCUUGGGAGCUCACAGCUGACUCCUGCUAGGAGGUGGGAUCUGGUUGGGAGAGGUGGCUCACUGCAGCUGAGGCCUGGAACGAACAUCUCCCUUCCCAGCUCCUCGCUUCACUCCUGCUGCUUUGUGGCCGCCAUGACUCGAGCAGCUUUGCCAGCCAGGCCCUUCCAGCGCCUUCCUGCCUGGGAGCUGGCCAACCGCGGACUAACAGCCUGAGCCAAACAGUGACACCAACUCCUCCAGGGAUCCUUUUCCCUGAGGUGUACCUGCAGUGACAGCUGUCCCUGGAGGGAACCACGGGUGGAACCAUUUGCCUGUGUGGUACAGGGUCCGCCAGGCCAACCCUCUGGACCCCGCUGCAUCCCGGCCUGCGCUGCCCCCUACCGC
This is a long non-coding RNA of Fukomys damarensis (Damara mole-rat), 385 nucleotides long. RefSeq lists it as uncharacterized. NCBI's taxonomy places the organism in Eukaryota, Metazoa, Chordata, Mammalia, Rodentia, Bathyergidae. The transcript is spliced from 3 exons. The record is from RefSeq and is a predicted model, not a curated record.